GGUUAAGCGACUAAGCGUACACGGUGGAUGCCCUGGCAGUCAGAGGCGAUGAAGGACGUGCUAAUCUGCGAUAAGCGCCGGUAAGGUGAUAUGAACCGUUAUAACCGGCGAUUUCCGAAUGGGGAAACCCAGUGUGACUCGUCACACUAUCAUUAACUGAAUCCAUAGGUUAAUGAGGCGAACCGGGGGAACUGAAACAUCUAAGUACCCCGAGGAAAAGAAAUCAACCGAGAUUCCCCCAGUAGCGGCGAGCGAACGGGGAGGAGCCCAGAGCCUGAAUCAGCAUGUGUGUUAGUGGAAGCGUCUGGAAAGGCGCGCGAUACAGGGUGACAGCCCCGUACACAAAAGCGCAUGUGCUGUGAGCUCGAUGAGUAGGGCGGGACACGUGGUAUCCUGUCUGAAUAUGGGGGGACCAUCCUCCAAGGCUAAAUACUCCUGACUGACCGAUAGUGAACCAGUACCGUGAGGGAAAGGCGAAAAGAACCCCGGCGAGGGGAGUGAAAAAGAACCUGAAACCGUGUACGUACAAGCAGUGGGAGCACCCUUUGGGGUGUGACUGCGUACCUUUUGUAUAAUGGGUCAGCGACUUAUAUUCUGUAGCAAGGUUAACCGAAUAGGGGAGCCGGAGGGAAACCGAGUCUUAACCGGGCGUUAAGUUGCAGGGUAUAGACCCGAAACCCGGUGAUCUAGCCAUGGGCAGGUUGAAGGUUGGGUAACACUAACUGGAGGACCGAACCGACUAAUGUUGAAAAAUUAGCGGAUGACCUGUGGCUGGGGGUGAAAGGCCAAUCAAACCGGGAGAUAGCUGGUUCUCCCCGAAAGCUAUUUAGGUAGCGCCUCGUGAAUUCAUCUCCGGGGGUAGAGCACUGUUUCGGCUAGGGGGCCAUCCCGGCUUACCAACCCGAUGCAAACUGCGAAUACCGGAGAAUGUUAUCACGGGAGACACACGGCGGGUGCUAACGUCCGUCGUGAAGAGGGAAACAACCCAGACCGCCAGCUAAGGUCCCAAAGUCAUGGUUAAGUGGGAAACGAUGUGGGAAGGCCCAGACAGCCAGGAUGUUGGCUUAGAAGCAGCCAUCAUUUAAAGAAAGCGUAAUAGCUCACUGGUCGAGUCGGCCUGCGCGGAAGAUGUAACGGGGCUAAACCAUGCACCGAAGCUGCGGCAGCGACACUAUGUGUUGUUGGGUAGGGGAGCGUUCUGUAAGCCUGUGAAGGUGGCCUGUGAGGGUUGCUGGAGGUAUCAGAAGUGCGAAUGCUGACAUAAGUAACGAUAAAGCGGGUGAAAAGCCCGCUCGCCGGAAGACCAAGGGUUCCUGUCCAACGUUAAUCGGGGCAGGGUGAGUCGACCCCUAAGGCGAGGCCGAAAGGCGUAGUCGAUGGGAAACGGGUUAAUAUUCCCGUACUUGGUGUUACUGCGAAGGGGGGACGGAGAAGGCUAUGUUGGCCGGGCGACGGUUGUCCCGGUUUAAGCGUGUAGGUGUGUGUUCCAGGUAAAUCCGGUUCACUUUAACACUGAGGCGUGACGACGAGGCACUACGGUGCUGAAGCAACAAAUGCCCUGCUUCCAGGAAAAGCCUCUAAGCAUCAGGUAACACGAAAUCGUACCCCAAACCGACACAGGUGGUCAGGUAGAGAAUACCAAGGCGCUUGAGAGAACUCGGGUGAAGGAACUAGGCAAAAUGGUGCCGUAACUUCGGGAGAAGGCACGCUGACACGUAGGUGAAGUGAUUUACUCAUGGAGCUGAAGUCAGUCGAAGAUACCAGCUGGCUGCAACUGUUUAUUAAAAACACAGCACUGUGCAAACACGAAAGUGGACGUAUACGGUGUGACGCCUGCCCGGUGCCGGAAGGUUAAUUGAUGGGGUCAGCGCAAGCGAAGCUCCUGAUCGAAGCCCCGGUAAACGGCGGCCGUAACUAUAACGGUCCUAAGGUAGCGAAAUUCCUUGUCGGGUAAGUUCCGACCUGCACGAAUGGCGUAAUGAUGGCCAGGCUGUCUCCACCCGAGACUCAGUGAAAUUGAACUCGCUGUGAAGAUGCAGUGUACCCGCGGCAAGACGGAAAGACCCCGUGAACCUUUACUAUAGCUUGACACUGAACAUUGAGCCUUGAUGUGUAGGAUAGGUGGGAGGCUUUGAAGUGUGGACGCCAGUCUGCAUGGAGCCGACCUUGAAAUACCACCCUUUAAUGUUUGAUGUUCUAACGUGGACCCGUGAUCCGGGUUGCGGACAGUGUCUGGUGGGUAGUUUGACUGGGGCGGUCUCCUCCUAAAGAGUAACGGAGGAGCACGAAGGUUGGCUAAUCCUGGUCGGACAUCAGGAGGUUAGUGCAAUGGCAUAAGCCAGCUUGACUGCGAGCGUGACGGCGCGAGCAGGUGCGAAAGCAGGUCAUAGUGAUCCGGUGGUUCUGAAUGGAAGGGCCAUCGCUCAACGGAUAAAAGGUACUCCGGGGAUAACAGGCUGAUACCGCCCAAGAGUUCAUAUCGACGGCGGUGUUUGGCACCUCGAUGUCGGCUCAUCACAUCCUGGGGCUGAAGUAGGUCCCAAGGGUAUGGCUGUUCGCCAUUUAAAGUGGUACGCGAGCUGGGUUUAGAACGUCGUGAGACAGUUCGGUCCCUAUCUGCCGUGGGCGCUGGAGAACUGAGGGGGGCUGCUCCUAGUACGAGAGGACCGGAGUGGACGCAUCACUGGUGUUCGGGUUGUCAUGCCAAUGGCACUGCCCGGUAGCUAAAUGCGGAAGAGAUAAGUGCUGAAAGCAUCUAAGCACGAAACUUGCCCCGAGAUGAGUUCUCCCUGAGACUUAGAGUCUCCUGAAGGAACGUUGAAGACGACGACGUUGAUAGGCCGGGUGUGUAAGCGCAGCGAUGCGUUGAGCUAACCGGUACUAAUGAACCGUGAGGCUUAACCUU
RNAcentral lists this ribosomal RNA (2905 nucleotides) under Salmonella enterica subsp. enterica serovar Typhimurium. RNAcentral describes it as "23S ribosomal RNA". It matches the Rfam family "Bacterial large subunit ribosomal RNA". Lineage: Bacteria; Pseudomonadati; Pseudomonadota; Gammaproteobacteria; Enterobacterales; Enterobacteriaceae. The record is from RNAcentral.